UAUCUAACCUUUUGGAAGAAGUCGUCGAAGGUGGAAUCAAUAACUGGGGUGAAGUCGUAACAAGGUAGCCGUAUCGGAAGGUGCGGCUGGAUCACCUCCUUU
This 102-nucleotide ribosomal RNA is filed under the name Clostridioides difficile. RNAcentral's name for it is "partial 16S ribosomal RNA". It matches the Rfam family "Bacterial small subunit ribosomal RNA", at positions 1432 to 1533 of the family's 1533-position model. Lineage: Bacteria; Bacillati; Bacillota; Clostridia; Peptostreptococcales; Peptostreptococcaceae. The record is from RNAcentral.